Molecule: long non-coding RNA, 689 nt
Organism: Leopardus geoffroyi (Geoffroy's cat)
Lineage: Eukaryota; Metazoa; Chordata; Mammalia; Carnivora; Felidae
Exons: 2
Source: RefSeq, a predicted model, not a curated record
ACUCAACCAACUGAACCACCUAGGUGCCCCUGGUUUUCUGCAUUUUUAAAAGAAGGUUAUGGUUAUAGUCAUUUGAUUUGUUUCUAAAACUGUGUAAAAGUACUGCCAUUGGAUUUAAAAUACAAUAUUCUCUAGAAAUGAAUUAAAUGUAUGGAAUCCCAAAUUGAUAAAUGCAAAUGCGAUCUCAUUAGUUUGUUGUUGUUGUUGGUGGUGGUGGUGGUGGUGGGUUUUUUUGUCCUUUUAGUUUCGGGAUAAAAUAAACGAAGCUUUACGUUAGUGCUGGCUUGGUGACAUAUAUAUACUUAAUUAGCAAAAACCAACACAUCAGUCAGUUUAGAAAAUUUUUGAAUUAGAUAACUGUAUAAAUGAUUAUAAACUUGAUGCUUUAAUAUUUUGAUUCAAUAUAUAUACCCUUAGAAUACUUUUAUGAUAAUUGUGUGUGAUAUAAAGACAUUUGCAAAUGUACCAUCUUUUAGGUGUGAUGUGUAUAUACAAAAUGAGGAUCAUGAUACUCAUUUUUGCUAUGGACUUAUGGCUUUUUUCAUAUUGUAAAAAUAUUUCAUAAUGCAGCAAUAUGUACCCCAAAUAGCUUUAUAAAUGAACUAGCUGUAUUUUUUAAUUAUUAUUUUAAUUCCAGGUUUGAAACUAAAAACUGUCCUGAUUUUAGGAAAAUGAAAGCUUGCAUGAUA